AUUGUUCUACAACUACUAUUUUUUAUAUUUGAUUUUCGUGUCUUGGAAAUGUUGUACAUUUUGUGUAUUUCUAUUGUAUUUAUUUUGCCUUGCUCUUAUUUUAUUCUGUCUCUCUCGAUAUUUUUUGAGAUUUCCUUGCCAAGUUGAACAAGCAAUUAGACUAUGCAAAAGUUGUGUUACUCUGUCUCUGUCUGUGUUUUUCUGUCUGCGCAAUGACCAGCAUGAAAAAUAUGUUGAAACAUGAAAGCAAAUUUCUUGGCUCAAAAGUCAAGCAAUGCAAAUUCGAGAGGGUGAGCGAGAGAGAGGGAGAAGGAAGGGAAACUGGACACAAAACAAUGUCAAUGUGACUGCUAAGCGUUCCCCAUAGCACAAUUAAAUUGGACUGCCAAGUGGUGCAAGAACUGAGAAUGGGAAUGAGAAGCACUCUCACAACUCAACUCGGAGGACACUUCUCUGGGGAGACACCUUUAUGAAGUUCGGGGGCACAAAAAACACACACAACGAACAGCACACAACUAACGAUAAGCACUAUGAUUAUGGCUGGUGGAGAAGUUUGUGCAGGACAAUCCAUUAUUUUCAAUAUACCCCACACCGAAAGUAAACUAGAAUGAAACGAAGAGAGAGAGAGAGAGAGAGAGAGAAACCCUUUUUGGCUAAGCAAAAAACCCAACUCAAUUGCAUAGCUACUUCAAUCAAUCAACGCUGACAUUGAGCAGCUGCUGGGCAAGCCAAAGGGACACGCCCCCAAGCGGAACUCAAUUACACUGUGAUACACAAAAAACGAGGGGAGAAGGCGAAAAAAACAACAAAAUACAAACGGAUAACUAACGAGACCCGGCGA
Drosophila albomicans is the source of this 841-nucleotide long non-coding RNA. RefSeq lists it as uncharacterized. The transcript has 2 exons. The record is from RefSeq and is a predicted model, not a curated record. Lineage: Eukaryota; Metazoa; Arthropoda; Insecta; Diptera; Drosophilidae.